AAAUUCUGGUGUUAAUAAAAUGGCUAUUAAAGCAUGGAACUCCAUGAGUAAUGAAGAUAAACAACAUUAUUUGGAUAAAGCAGCUAAGCGCAAGGCAAAACAUGAGAAACUUAAGAAAAAAGGCUGACUAGAAUUGAAUUGUUAUUCAUGUGACACCUUAAGAUUAGUGGCCACUAUGAAGACAUCCUCCACUGAAUCUAUGAUAGCCACCAAAUUCUGCAAUCUUGCAGGCAGAACAUUAUGAAGAUGAUUGCGGAUAAGCAACGGCACAAGACAAAGGAGAUU
Long non-coding RNA from Medicago truncatula (barrel medic), 285 nucleotides. RefSeq lists it as uncharacterized. Lineage: Eukaryota; Viridiplantae; Streptophyta; Magnoliopsida; Fabales; Fabaceae. The transcript is spliced from 3 exons. The record is from RefSeq and is a predicted model, not a curated record.